This is a non-coding RNA of Coemansia sp. RSA 2708, 85 nucleotides long. Lineage: Eukaryota; Fungi; Kickxellomycota; Kickxellomycetes; Kickxellales; Kickxellaceae. The record is from the annotation of a GenBank genome assembly.
ACGGGUGUGGUGAAAUGGUAAACACGUCAUAUUUAGGAUAUGAUAGUAAUAUAAUACUAUGUGGGUUCAAAUCCCACCAUCCGUA